Molecule: long non-coding RNA, 694 nt
Organism: Zeugodacus cucurbitae (melon fly)
Lineage: Eukaryota; Metazoa; Arthropoda; Insecta; Diptera; Tephritidae
Exons: 3
Source: RefSeq, a predicted model, not a curated record
AUUCCCAUGCUUAUAAUAGCUGCCAUCGAUUGGUCACUUCUCUGCUCGGUAUCUGAGGGCGCUGCUCGCCUGUCAAAAAUUUUACAUGUGAAAGCAACAACAAAGUUAUCUAGUUGAAUUCGUGCAGGAGAGUAUGCCAAUACCUCAUUAAAAAUUCUUUCGCCGCGUGCUGAGUGCUACCAAGUUUUGUUUUACACAUUUUAGAAUCAUUUAACUAAUGUGAACGGCUCGAAAGGACAAAUUACUGUCAAAAUAAUAAAAAUUGUUAUACUCAAAUUUGAAAUUGAAAAUGGCAGGCGAAGACAAAUCAAAACGUAAGACAUUGACGGUGGUAGAAGAGUUCAGUGCGACCAAGUAUAGGCAAUUCGAUUUCAAUGCAUGUCAGUUCGUGUGAAAAGUUGGAAAGUUUGUUCGAUUGGCUUGUCUAUAGCAGUUAUCCAAUCGAUGACAGCUAAUAUUGGUGGAUAAUCGCCACAUGGUGUAACAAGUGUAGCAGCAACAACAAAUAAUACAUUUUCUAAUUCAAAACAAAAGUCAAAAUCGCACAACGUAACCGGCAAAUAACAAGGCAUCGUAUGAUGUACAACAAAUUACAUCGGCUUUUGGAGUAGCAGUUUCACUACUUAUUUUCGACGUGCUAAACCCUUGCAUCUACACAAUGGAUAGUUAACAUAAUAACAGAGCUCGACAAAAA